CAGCACAUUACUACAAUUGGAACAAUAUAGAGGUUAGCACAGCCCCUGCACAAGGAUGAUACACAAAUUCAUGAAGUGUUCCACAUUUUU
Molecule: small nuclear RNA, 90 nt
Filed under: Cervus elaphus hippelaphus
Lineage: Eukaryota; Metazoa; Chordata; Mammalia; Artiodactyla; Cervidae
Source: RNAcentral